GGGGAUGACAUGGUUUCGACGGGGAUUUGGAACAAGGAUAAGCAUGUCGAUGGGCAUACAUCGUAAAAAUAGCAAAUUAAAAUUAAACGCAGAAGAUAACUUCGCAUUAGCUGCCUAAGGCGGCCGGCUACUAAGUUGAACCCAUAACGGCUUAGCAGUCUCAAAUAUGUUGGGAAACCUGCAAAGCAAAGCUUUGAGUUUUGCACGGAUGAUAUGAAGCUACCAUUUAAUUGUAUUUGUUGAUUAAUUAGAUUAAUUGGGAAUAAAAUUUAAUCAAAUAAACAUGUAGAAGAUCCUUCGGAUGAGUUUUCGGACGUGGGUUCGACACCCACCAUCUCCACCA
RNAcentral lists this transfer-messenger RNA (343 nucleotides) under Tissierellia bacterium. It matches the Rfam family "transfer-messenger RNA". Rfam says of the family: Bacterial tmRNA, also known as 10Sa RNA or SsrA, is named for its dual tRNA and mRNA-like properties. Lineage: Bacteria; Bacillati; Bacillota; Tissierellia. The record is from RNAcentral.